GGGAGGGGGAAGCCUCGCCUGGGGGGCGGCAGUGGCCUGGGCGGCUCUCCGGCUGCUGUUGUAUGGCUGCACGUUGGCGCUACCGGACGGGAUGCUGUAUCCCCGAGAGAGCCCGUCGUGGCAGCGCAAGCAGCUGGACGGCCUCUGAAGCUUCCGCGCCGACUUCUCCGACAACCGACGCCGGGGCUUCGAGGAGCAGAGGUACCGGCGACCGCUGUCGGAGGCGCGGACUCGGGGCAGGGCCAGGAGUCGCCCGGAAGCCCGGCGGUGGGAAUGGGUCAGGCCCCACCGUGGACAUGCCGGUUCCCUCCAGCUUCAACGACAUCGGCCAGGGCUGGCGGCUGCGGCAUUUUGUCAGCUGGUUGUGGUAUGAACGGGAGGUGACCCUGCUGGAGCGAUGGAUCCAGGACCUGUGCACAAGAGUGGUGCUGAGGAUUGGCAGUGCCCACUUCUAUGCCAUCGUGGUAUCCCAAGGGUUACUUUGUCCAGAACACAGACUUUGACUUCUUCAGCUACGCAGGACUGCUGUGGUCUCUGCUUCUAUACACGACACCCCCCACCUACAUCGAUGACGUCACCGUCACCACCGGCGUGAAGCGAGACAGUGGUGAGGGCUUCUGGACUGGAUGGAGGACCUGAAGACGUGAGGUGGAGGCACAGGUAGAAGAGAAGAUUCUCACCAUCGCUGAUUCACACAAAAGCGUAA
RNAcentral lists this long non-coding RNA (706 nucleotides) under Homo sapiens (human). RNAcentral's name for it is "non-protein coding lnc-IGLL1-1:20". The record is from RNAcentral. Lineage: Eukaryota; Metazoa; Chordata; Mammalia; Primates; Hominidae.